AGGGUUUGAUUAUGGCUCAGGACGAACGCUGGCGGCGUGCCUAACACAUGCAAGUCGAGCGGGAAGUUCGACACGGAGGCUUCGGCCGAAGUGUCGAGUGGAGAGCGGCGGACGGGUGAGUAACGCGUGAGUAACCUGCCUACCAGAGGGGGAUAACACAUAGAAAUGUGUGCUAAUACCGCAUGAAACCAUAGUAUCGCAUGGUACAAUGGUCAAAGAUUUAUCGCUGGUAGAUGGACUCGCGUCUGAUUAGCUAGUUGGAGGGGUAACGGCCCACCAAGGCGACGAUCAGUAGCCGAACUGAGAGGUUGAUCGGCCACAUUGGGACUGAGACACGGCCCAG
Molecule: ribosomal RNA, 343 nt
Filed under: uncultured bacterium
Lineage: Bacteria
Description: bacterial SSU rRNA
Rfam family: Bacterial small subunit ribosomal RNA
Source: RNAcentral